This 478-nucleotide ribosomal RNA is filed under the name uncultured bacterium. RNAcentral's name for it is "partial 16S ribosomal RNA". It matches the Rfam family "Bacterial small subunit ribosomal RNA", at positions 28 to 523 of the family's 1533-position model. The record is from RNAcentral.
GACGAACGCUGGCGGCGUGCUUAACACAUGCAAGUCGAACGGUAAGGCCCUUCGGGGUACACGAGUGGCGAACGGGUGAGUAACACGUGGGUGAUCUGCCCUGCACUUCGGGAUAAGCCUGGGAAACUGGGUCUAAUACCGGAUAGGACUCCGGACUGCAUGGUCUGGGGUGGAAAGCUUUUGCGGUGUGGGAUGGGCCCGCGGCCUAUCAGCUUGUUGGUGGGGUGAUGGCCUACCAAGGCGACGACGGGUAGCCGGCCUGAGAGGGUGACCGGCCACACUGGGACGGAGAUACGGCCCAGACUCAUACGGGAGGCAGCAGUGGGGAAUAUUGCACAAUGGGCGCGAGCCUGAUGCAGCGACGCCGCGUGGGGGAUGACGGCCUUCGGGUUGUAAACCUCUUUCAGCACAGACGAAGCGCAAGUGACGGUAUGUGCAGAAGAAGGACCGGCCAACUACGUGCCAGCCGCCGCGGUAA